UACGUAGGUGGCAAGCGUUAUCCGGAUUUAUUGGGCGUAAAGGGAACGCAGGCGGUCUUUUAAGUCUGAUGUGAAAGCCUUCGGCUUAACCGGAGUAGUGCAUUGGAAACUGGGAGACUUGAGUGCAGAAGAGGAGAGUGGAACUCCAUGUGUAGCGGUGAAAUGCGUAGAUAUAUGGAAGAACACCAGUAGCGAAAGCGGCUCUCUGGUCUGUAACUGACGCUGAGGUUCGAAAGCGUGGGUAGCAAACAGG
RNAcentral lists this ribosomal RNA (253 nucleotides) under uncultured bacterium. Its description in RNAcentral is "partial 16S ribosomal RNA". It matches the Rfam family "Bacterial small subunit ribosomal RNA", at positions 524 to 776 of the family's 1533-position model. The record is from RNAcentral.